This 1040-nucleotide ribosomal RNA is filed under the name Myrmaecium rubrum. RNAcentral's name for it is "SSU rRNA". It matches the Rfam family "Eukaryotic small subunit ribosomal RNA", at positions 66 to 1115 of the family's 1831-position model. The record is from RNAcentral. Lineage: Eukaryota; Fungi; Ascomycota; Dothideomycetes; Valsariales; Valsariaceae.
UAAGCACUCUAUACUGUGAAACUGCGAAUGGCUCAUUAAAUCAGUUAUCGUUUAUUUGAUAGUACCUUACUACAUGGAUAACCGUGGUAAUUCUAGAGCUAAUACAUGCUAAAAGCCCCGACUUCGGGAGGGGCGUAUUUAUUAGAUAAAAAACCAAUGCCCUUCGGGGCUCCUUGGUGAUUCAUAAUAACUCAACGAAUCGCAUGGCCUUGCGCCGGCGAUGGUUCAUUCAAAUUUCUGCCCUAUCAACUUUCGAUGGUAGGAUAGUGGCCUACCAUGGUAUCAACGGGUAACGGGGAAUUAGGGUUCUAUUCCGGAGAGGGAGCCUGAGAAACGGCUACCACAUCCAAGGAAGGCAGCAGGCGCGCAAAUUACCCAAUCCCGACUCGGGGAGGUAGUGACAAUAAAUACCGAUACAGGGCUCUUUUGGGUCCUGUAAUUGGAAUGAGUACAAUUUAAAUCCCUUAACGAGGAACAAUUGGAGGGCAAGUCUGGUGCCAGCAGCCGCGGUAAUUCCAGCUCCAAUAGCGUAUAUUAAAGUUGUUGCAGUUAAAAAGCUCGUAGUUGAACCUUGGGCCUGGCUGGCCGGUCCGCCUCACCGCGUGUACUGGUCCGGCCGGGCCUUUCCUCCUGGCUACCCGCAUGCCCUUCGCUGGGCGUGUCGGGGAACCAGGACUUUUACUGUGAAAAAAUUAGAGUGUUCAAAGCAGGCCUUUGCUCGAAUACAUUAGCAUGGAAUAAUAGAAUAGGACGUGCGGUCCUAUUUUGUUGGUUUCUAGGACCGCCGUAAUGAUUAAUAGGGAUAGUCGGGGGCAUCAGUAUUCAAUUGUCAGAGGUGAAAUUCUUGGAUUUAUUGAAGACUAACUACUGCGAAAGCAUUUGCCAAGGAUGUUUUCAUUAAUCAGUGAACGAAAGUUAGGGGAUCGAAGACGAUCAGAUACCGUCGUAGUCUUAACCGUAAACUAUGCCGACUAGGGAUCGGGCGAUGUUACUAUUUUGACUCGCUCGGCACCUUACGAGAAAUCAAAGUCUUUGGGUCU